Non-coding RNA from Chiloscyllium plagiosum (whitespotted bambooshark), 4856 nucleotides. The record is from RefSeq and is a predicted model, not a curated record. NCBI's taxonomy places the organism in Eukaryota, Metazoa, Chordata, Chondrichthyes, Orectolobiformes, Hemiscylliidae.
CUGACCAGAGCUCAUCUCAACAACGCCUUCGAUUGGAAUGAUUCUUUUCCAUUAUAUUUCAGCGGCAGUUUCACGAGACGCAAGAAUUGGAGAGUUUUGAUUUUGAGAGAAUGAAACCUUUAUCAUUGCAAAAUGGUACUCAGGAAGUUCCUGACUCAAUAGACUUCCCAGCUGCUGGGUGUCUCAUCCAUCACUAAUUGAAAUUGGUUGGUCAGCCAGAGAGACAAAGAGCAGGGAGAUCUGGAGCCUUCUAUAAAUCCUGCAGAGAGGCUCAGCGGCGAUCCUGUGAGGGAGCAGUGCGGAAUGGGAUAUUAUAAAUCUCAGUUCAGGCUUGAGGAUUACAAUUACUUGGGAGUCACAAAGGGAGAGAACCUGACAGCGAGCAGCACAGAGCGGGAGAAUCAGCAGCGAGGAUCGCGGCCGACUGGGACUUGGAGUUGGAGAAACAGCAGAGCAGGAGGCACAGACACAGUGCUGGGAGCAUGGAGCGUGGCUUGGAGGGCACUUUGGAAAUGCUGAUGUUCCCGUGCACCUGGAAUUGCUGUCCUUCCAAGGAAUAGUGGGUUGGUCAAAUGGAAAACGUUUUCUGUUACAUUGGGAGAAGUCAUAGCCCCUGCUGAUGUUUGAGACGAUCACCGGGUCAUGCAGCUCAGUUAAUGACUGGAGAUUUUGUGAGACAUCUAUAAUGCUGAGAGUUUGGUGGAUAACACAUACAGGGAGGGGAUCACACUGCUGUCAUAACGGCAUGUAAGAAGGAAGGAAAUGGGUGAUCAGUCAAGAGAUAAGUCAGGGAAUAGAGGAUUACCCUGGGGGAGGGGAGGCUCCCUCCCCAUUAAGUUUUCCAGUUUGGAAGCUGAUGAAGAUGCGGACUGCUCAGGGGAGUGCAGUCAGAACCAUAUCGGUGGCACCACAAGCAGCCUGACUGUACAGAGGGGGGGGGGGGGGGAGAAGGAAGGAGGGGCGAUAGUCACAGAGCAGUCAGGAAAUUGAAGAAGGUGUCAGUGUUUCUAUGACUGUCAAUGUAAUUCCAGGAUCGUGGUAUCAAGAAUGUCACUGUGUCCAUAAAGUCUGCUCCACCAUUCACAUUUGGCUGAUCAGUUUUUCAAGCCCGUUUUCCUCCUUUCCCUCUUUGAUCUCAUGGCAAUCAAGAACUUUUCUAUCUUUGUUUUAAAUCUGCUCAAUGACUUUGCAUCCAUAGCCUUUUGUGACAAUGAGUUCCACAGAUUCCCCACUCUCUGGGUGAAGAUGUUUCCCUUUAUUUCCGAUCUAAAACGUUUUCCCUUUACUCGAAGGCUGUGCCGUUGGUUACUCGUAUCUUCUGUCAAUGGAAACAUCUUCCCAACGUCCACUCUAUCCAAGCCAUUCAUUAUUCUGUAAGUUUCAAUCAGAUCUCCCCUUGUCCUUCUAAAUUCCAUCAUGUAUAGUCCCAGAGCCAUCAAACAUUCCUCAUCUGUUACGCCUUUCAUUCCUGGGAUUUUUCUUGUGAACUUCCUCUGGACCUGCUCCAGGUCCAAUGUAUCCUUCCUGAUGUGUGGAGCCCAAAGUAUAACGCAUUCAGAAAUGAUAUAAAGGAAAGCAAAGGAUGAAGUGUAGAAGUAUUGGUUCAGGAUAGUGUUAGUUAAUGAGUCUGAGAGAAAGUGGAUGCCUCCAAGUUCAGAAUGAAUUUAGUUGGAGCUUUAGAACAAAAGCUAUAAGGUUACGCAGUGAGGGGCCAUCUGUGGGCUACCAACUAGUGAAAAGGGUACAGAGAUGGAAAAUGAUAAUGUUGAGAAACUUGCAUUAUCCAGAUACAGACUGGGAUACUGACCGUGUCUGGGCAGUGACGGAUUGCAUGGAGGAGAGCUUACUGCAGGAGUAUGUGCCCACCCCAAGGGACCAUGUACUGUUGAACCUUGGAAAGGAGAUGGGGAAAGUGGAUCCAGUAUCAGGUGGGAACAUUUUCAGGCACGAUGAUUAUUUUAUUGUAAUGCUCAGGAUGAUGACAGAGAAUGCUAUGCAUUAACUAAGUUUGAGAAAAAUCAAUCGACUGGGAGCUGCCUUCAGUGGGGCAAUAAUGAAUCUGGGAAGGUAUGGCCGGAACAUCAAGUUGGUCAGAAAAAGAAAAAUUGAACAAUGGGCUCCGUUCAAUGGUUUAGGACCUGUGUAGGAAUAGUUCCUCACACAGGAAAGACAGGGUAAACAAACCCAAUGCUGCCUCGGUGACAGUGGAGCAAAAGGUUGAGAUGAAGAAGAACAAUUGAAUAGCUAUCAGAUAGCGAACAGAAUUGUGAACCAGGAGAAAUGCUGAAGGUUUAGAGUAGAGAUGGAAGAGCGGAGGGAUUUAUGAGAAAACAGAGAGACAACAUAAAGUUGUCACACCUCUAAGGGAGCGUGCGAAAAGGUGGAGUAAGGCUGAUUCAACAUUUGAAAGAGGAUUUAUACUGAGAAGAAGGUGAAUGGCAGGGUGUGAGCUGAAGCCUUCAUCUCUGUCUUUGCCAACGUGGGCAAACCCACCCAUGCCAUGGUGACAGAGGAGGAAACACUGUCACUAGAAAGGUACAACAUUUAUGUGGAAUAUCUUUGUGGCACAGGGAACAAACAUGUUUCGCUGUUUUUCCCUCAAUGUAUGUGACAUUAAAUCACUCAUUCAUUCAUUCAUGGAAUAAAAGGGACUGUAUCAAUUUGGAUACAAAAUUGACUGAUUGGUAGGAAAUCGAGAGGAAUGGUUACUAGAUUUGUAAUUCAGACUGGAGAAAGAUUUUCAGUGAAGUUCAGCAGGAUUCGGUUUUGGGGACCUCAUUGAUUUUCAUAUGUAUGAACGAUGUACAUCUGAUGUGCAGGGACCCAUCAAAAGUUUAUAGUUCACACAGCACUUAAAUAAAUUGUAAACUGUGAGGAAAACAUUAUAGAACUCAAAAACGUACAUUGCCAACUUCUUAGAAAGAGUAGAGAAGUGAUUGAUGAAGUUUGGCACAUUGAAUCAUAAGACAAUGCAAAUUUCCAGCAAGAGCAUUAAAAUAUAAUAUAAAACAGGCAGGAAUAGAGGAGCAGAGGAUGUGCAAAGAAUCAUUGAAGUUUGUAGGACAUUAAACAUAGACAAAGCAUGCAGUGUUCCUGUCUUUAUAAAUACUGAUAGUGCAAGGGUAAGGAGGUGAUGGUGAACUUGAAUCAAAUACAUUCGACAUCAACUGGAGUAUUGCAUAUGAUCUGACGGAUAUGAACACAUUAGAAAGGAUGACGAACUGAUCUGAAAACAUAUUUCCAGGGAUGAGUAAGAUCAGUUAUGAAGUCAGACUGAAAAUGUUGCACCUGUUCUCACUGAAGUGAAGGUGGCUAAGUGGAGAUCGGAUGUACUUUUUCAAACUGAUAGGCAGACUGAAUAGAUUAGUUUGGAUAAAACUUUACCCACUCAAAAAAGGAGGGAAAAACGAGAGGGCACAGAUUUCAGGUUAUGUACAGCAGGAGAAAUAUGAUAGGAGUAAGAACCUUUUCACUUGGCGAGUAGUUAGGUUACACUUGGAUAUGUUGUAAAUGGAUAUUCAAUGGAAAUGUUCAAGAGGGGAUUGGAUGAUUAUUGCGAUAAAAUAAAUCUGUAACAGUAUGGGGGAAAGCAGGAGAUCACUACUCUGUAAUGGACUCAGAUGAAGAGCUGGUGCAAACAUCAUAGGUCAAAUUACAUCCUUCUGUGCCUUAAGACUUUUGUAUGGAUUCAAGCGAUGUCUCAAGAGUUCUCCAACUCUAAUAAUACUGUGUUUCCAUUACCUUAUUGAUCCUGUGCGAUCCAUUCUUACCUCUGAAACAUCCAUCAGUCAAAGCAUCCCUCCUUAUCUCUGUAACUCAUACAGGCCAUUUUCUAAAUCUUCUUUCUCUACAAUGCCUUCUAAACACUCCCUCUCUAUGUAAUAAUUCUCCAAGCCUGACAGCUUUCCCUUUGUCCGUAAUUACUCCGAUACAUAGAAAGCUCCAAAUCUUUACAAUCUCCUCCAGCUCACACAAUCAUCAGUCUAUCAAUGUCACUAACUCCCUCCCGCCCUGACAAAUCUCAUGAUCAACAUAACCUCCUCCAGCCAUUACACUGUUCAUUAUGCAGUGCACCUUUCGCAGUCCCUUACAACUCUGCCCAUCUCUUAAACUUCCUCAUGUCCCAACAAUGUUCCCUAGUGUCUGACGUGCUCCAAUGUGUGAUCUGCUGUGUAAAAUCCUCUCGUCUCUUCAGCACUCCCGAUUCUGUAACCACCUCCUGUCCCUACACAGCUCCCUAUUUCUACAGUGUCCACAUUCUUAAUCCCACCCUACCUGUGGAAAUACCUCCAGCUCUCCUUAUUUCUGAAAUCUCUAUCAGAUCAAAACAACACUCUAUGUAUCUCAAACCUUCAUUAGCCCCUUCAAAUAUCACUGCCUCUGAAAUUCCUCCCGCUACUGCAAUGCUCUCAAUGAAAUCUUCCAAGAAAAGUCACCUUCUUUUCAGGAGAACCUCUUCUUAUUAAUCUCCUGCAGGGCCAAGACAAGGUUUUCUUUUGUCUUCUGCAAGCUCUCUAUCUCAAACCCUUCACCUAUAACGUCCUUAUUAUCUCUCAUCUCAUUCAAAAACUUGAUCGGCCUGUAUGUCUGUGACCUUCUCCAGGAGAAGGAAAGGCUUUUCGGGAGUAGGGGGAGAUUUUGUGUUUGAAGGAUGUCAUAAAUGUAUGACUGUUUGUAGAAUGGAGAGGAUUUACAGAGAUGGAAGGGUGACAGAACAUGAGGGGUGUCAAAGAGACUGAUAUUUGUAGGCUCAGAGAAAAUAAUCUGUGGUUUGCCUAUUUGGCUAUAAUUUGAAGAGUAAAAUGUUAUUAAAUUGCAAAUGUAUGGGCCUAUUAUUGAGUUUGGGAUCUGCCUGU